RNAcentral lists this ribosomal RNA (427 nucleotides) under uncultured bacterium. Its description in RNAcentral is "partial 16S ribosomal RNA". It matches the Rfam family "Bacterial small subunit ribosomal RNA", at positions 355 to 774 of the family's 1533-position model. The record is from RNAcentral.
UGGGGAAUAUUGGACAAUGGGCGAAAGCCUGAUCCAGCCAUGCCGCGUGUGUGAAGAAGGUCUUCGGAUUGUAAAGCACUUUAAGUUGGGAGGAAGGGCAUUAACCUAAUACGUUAGUGUUUUGACGUUACCGACAGAAUAAGCACCGGAUAACUCUGUGCCAGCAGCCGCGGUAAUACAGAGGGUGCAAGGGUUAAUCGGAAUUACUGGGCGUAAAGCGCGCGUAGGUGGUUUGUUAAGUUGGAUGUGAAAUCCCCGGGCUCAACCUGGGAACUGCAUUCAAAACUGACUGACUAGAGUAUGGUAGAGGGUGGUGGAAUUUCCUGUGUAGCGGUGAAAUGCGUAGAUAUAGGAAGGAACACCAGUGGCGAAGGCGACCACCUGGACUAAUACUGACACUGAGGUGCGAAAGCGUGGGGAGCAAACA